AUAAGUGGCGGACGGGUGAGUAACGCGUGGGAAUCUGCCUACUAGCGGGGGAUAGCCCGGAGAAAUCCGGAUUAAUACCGCAUACGCCCUACGGGGGAAAGCUGGGGAUCUUCGGACCUGGCACUAGUAGAUGAGCCCGCGUUGGAUUAGCUUGUUGGUGGGGUAAUGGCCUACCAAGGCAACGAUCCAUAGCUGUUCUGAGAGGAAGAUCAGCCACACUGGGACUGAGACACGGCCCAG
This 240-nucleotide ribosomal RNA is filed under the name uncultured bacterium. RNAcentral describes it as "partial 16S ribosomal RNA". It matches the Rfam family "Bacterial small subunit ribosomal RNA", at positions 91 to 334 of the family's 1533-position model. The record is from RNAcentral.